This 221-nucleotide unclassified non-coding RNA is filed under the name uncultured Tomentella. RNAcentral describes it as "sequence contains ITS2". The record is from RNAcentral. RNAcentral also lists the same sequence under 1 other name. Lineage: Eukaryota; Fungi; Basidiomycota; Agaricomycetes; Thelephorales; Thelephoraceae.
ACACCUCAACUCUCAUGGCUUUGCCCAUGAUGAGCUUGGACUUUGGGGGUUUUGCUGGCCUGCAGGUCGGCUCCUCUCAAAUGAAUCAGCUUGCCAGUGUUUGGUGGCAUCACGGGUGUGAUAACUAUCUACGCUUGUGGUUUUCCACCAGAUAACCUUCAGUGAUGGAGGUUCGCUGGGGCUCAUAAAUGUCUCUCCUCGGCGAGGACAGCUCUUUGAAC